This 2104-nucleotide unclassified non-coding RNA is filed under the name Gigantopelta aegis. RNAcentral describes it as "uncharacterized LOC121391060, transcript variant X1". Lineage: Eukaryota; Metazoa; Mollusca; Gastropoda; Neomphalida; Peltospiridae. The record is from RNAcentral.
GUGACUUUCAGGACAAAGAUACAUCUAAAGACAUGACGUUGGAUCAGGAUGCAAAUGCUGAUUCAACAAAUUCACAAAGUGCAGAACAGCUUUUGUCAUGUUCUAUUAUUCUGCACAUUCCUGUGCUGAAAGAGAUGAUCUGUUCAGAUGUUUGUGUUGAAUUUAAAUCUCCAAAUGGAUAUUCUGCUAACACCACUUUGUGUCAUCUUUUUGAAGAAAUCUGGCGCAGUGGUUUUGUGUUGGUGCCUGCUGAUACUCCUUGCCUAGAAUACCGUUGUAAAUUUAAGGUUUUGAAACUGGGUUUCUGGAGAACAAGUACCGAAAUAUUACAAGAUUACUCCUGGAAAGAGGUUAAGAUUACCCCAGUGAUUCGUGACUUUUUUAUUAUUAAAGGAAUUGAUAGUUUUGAAAAGGGUCUUGUACAACAUUUUAGGCAUCAACUUGCAGUAGUUAAUGCAGACAAUUUAAAAAUUAUUAUAAUGGAAAUAGAUGAUCUUAUUUCACUGUCAAAACAUUACAUGGAACAUGCCAGGAUGUUGGACAACAGAAGACUGUUGUGUACUUUGGAACAAUACAUAACAGAAAAACAGUCACAUAUCAACAGGGAGACAUUCAUUCUCUUUGGGUAUAUUUGUGCUCAGUUGUGUAGUGGUUCUAGAAGAAAGAAAAUGGAUGACGUGAAAACUAUCUCAAAGCAAACAUCAACAGCAAUACUUAAAGGUUUGCAGACACUUCCACAAAAUGCACUUCCUGUAGGAUCUCUAAAAUGUUUUGAAAACAUUGUUUCAGAUUUGUGCUUAAUUGUAUUUCCAAACAAAUCAAGCCUCAUUGUGCAUUUGUUAGAAUUUUGUUAUCCUGUGUUAUCAUCUACCUUUGUAAUGAGUAAUUUUGAUAAUUUAGGACAGUUGGAGUUUUCUUGUGAUUUAAAAAUGUGUGAAUGGAUUUGUAACAAGAUUCUUGAACAGGAAAAAGCUGGAGAUAAAGAUGCUUCAAUUCUUCUUCAGAAAUUUCUGCAACAUGCUCCAAUUUCUAGCACUAUCGACAUAGUCCAAUCUAUGGUUUUGCAUACACCCACAAACCAGCAGGUACUGCUGGAUCUUCUCCGAUCACGAAUUGUAGCUCAAAGUAAAAAGUCAGCAAAGGAAAAGAAUUUUGAUGCAUUGCUUAAACUGGUAAAUGAUCUAACUUCAAGUCAUGAAGACAUUGUGUCUGUAGUGUCAGAAAUCCUUACAAAAACUGUCAUAAGUAUGGUAAAAGGAUUGCGUAAAUCUGACUCUGCUGAUUUCCCUCAAGUCUUGAAGCUAAUGGAUUCUCAAAUACUUUUCACAUCACAAGAAUCUUGCGAAGAAAUAUAUGGGGUAAUGGUUGCCUCAGAAAAUAAAUAUAUACACACUUUAUAUUUGAAAUUACUUGAUUCUGAACAAAUGAGGAGUGCAGUUGAUCAAAAGAUGUAUAAGUGGGUGAUGAAAUGGUUUGAAACGGCAAUCAACCAUCAUUGCUAUGAGAACCGGCACAACGAUAAAUGUGAUGACCUUCCACAUGUUUACAAACACCUGAAUCUUCUGCUCAGUAAACCAUCAGUUUUAAAGAGAGACAAACUGGUUACUGAUUUGAAAGAAGAAGCAUAUAAGUUCCUUAAUUACAUUCCAUUGAAACUGUUGAUGCAAAACCUGUGCUUUAAAAGUUGGUUUGAUAGCAAUGACUUGCCAGAAAGCUUUGGUCCACAUCUAAUUAGAAGAUUAUCAGUCAGCUCUGAUGGAAAGAAUACUGCUCUCACUACUAUUGGAACAUCUUCAGAAUUUCAAGAUACAUGUAAUGAUGAAGAAAGCAAAGGCGUCUUGCCGUAUCAGUUCAAGCCUGAAUAUGAUGGUGAUGAUCCGGAGAUAGAUAUGAGAUUAUGACUGUAAAGAUCAUAUCUGAUGAGUUGGAAAAAGCCAAGAACGAACGUCUUCAAGACUUGAGUAGUUGGAAUAAAUGUGGAUAUACAGCCUGUGAAUGUAUAUGUAUGUUGCCAGAACAUAUGAUGGAUGCUAUAAAGUAUUGUGCUAAAUUGACUGGCUUAUCGAGUAGAUUAUGACAUCAAUCUGGAUGAACCAAGAAAUUA